CUGCUGCAUGGACGUGCACAAAGGCAGGAGCAAUAUGUGAGCAGGGCUCUCAUCCCCUGCCCUGCCCCUGUGCAGCCCUGGGAUGCCUGAGGACAAGACCUGCAUCUCUGAAGCCACACACACUCCUGGGCGCUGCCAGCCCUGCAGAGGACACAACACAGCCCUGCGUGUCCCGGUCCCAGUGUGCACAUGCCAGCUGCAGGCGGCGAGAGGGCAGAUUACAGCAGCAUCAGUUCAAAUCUUUGUUUGCGUUCCCACACCAAAAAGCCUACAAACAACCCUCCCCUGGGCUUCCAUGAAAUGAAGCUCAAUGUUCACAAGGUAGUGAAAAGCAAAAACUAAAAAAAUAAUAUAAGGGACUUGUUAUUCCCCAAACCAUGCAUUAUAAAUGUAGGAAAUCCACAAUUAGAGCUGCACUUUCAAAGCACAACCCAGAAAAAUCUUAGCAGAG
Non-coding RNA from Anas platyrhynchos (mallard), 451 nucleotides. The record is from RefSeq and is a predicted model, not a curated record. Lineage: Eukaryota; Metazoa; Chordata; Aves; Anseriformes; Anatidae.